GGUGGGAUGAUCCAGUGGUUAAGGUGUUAGCCUGUGUUUCAGAAGGUUUGGGUUCAACUCCCAAUUCUGCUA
Transfer RNA from Alligator mississippiensis (American alligator), 72 nucleotides. It matches the Rfam family "tRNA". Rfam says of the family: Transfer RNA (tRNA) molecules are approximately 80 nucleotides in length. Their secondary structure includes four short double-helical elements and three loops (D, anti-codon, and T loops). NCBI's taxonomy places the organism in Eukaryota, Metazoa, Chordata, Crocodylia, Alligatoridae. The record is from Rfam.